RNAcentral lists this ribosomal RNA (476 nucleotides) under uncultured bacterium. Its description in RNAcentral is "bacterial SSU rRNA". It matches the Rfam family "Bacterial small subunit ribosomal RNA", at positions 355 to 825 of the family's 1533-position model. The record is from RNAcentral.
UGGGGAAUAUUGGACAAUGGGCGCAAGCCUGAUCCAGCGAUGCCGCGUGUGUGAAGAAGGCCUGCGGGUUGUAAAGCACUUUUUAGCGAGGACGAGGUUUUAGGGGGUUAAUAGGUCUCUAAGAUGACGGUACUCGCAGAAAAAGCACCGGCUAACUCUGUGCCAGCAGCCGCGGUUAAUACGUAGGGACCAAGCGUUGUUCGGAUUUACUGGGCGUAAAGGGCGCGUAGGCGGCAAUUCAAGUCCAUCUGUGAAAUCUCCGGGCUUAACUCGGAACGGUCAGAUGAUACUGCUUUGCUAGAGUGCAGAAGGGGCAAUCGGAAUUCUUGGUGUAGCGGUGAAAUGCGUAGAUAUCAAGAGGAACACCUGAGGUGAAGACGGGUUGCUGGGCUGACACUGACGCUGAGGCACGAAAGCCAGAGGAGCAAACAGGAUUAGAUACCCCAGUAGUCCCUGAGCGGGCUGGCAAGGCGCAU